Molecule: long non-coding RNA, 1284 nt
Organism: Sebastes umbrosus (honeycomb rockfish)
Lineage: Eukaryota; Metazoa; Chordata; Actinopteri; Perciformes; Sebastidae
Exons: 3
Source: RefSeq, a predicted model, not a curated record
UUAUGUGUAUCAUUUCAUCAUCAAUAAGACUCGAUCACAUUCAUUUUAAAACAUUGGUAUAAUUAUUCUAAACAAACAAGACCAUCGCCUCAACACUGCAUACAUGUGUACAUGUCAUGUGACCUGGGCUGGUUUAAAGGGGAAUCUACUGAGUUGAUUUAAGGCACAAAGGCUGGUAGCUUUACAACACAAACCAUGUGGACAGCGCCGUGCCCACACCCUCUUCACGAUAGGAAGGAGCGCAAUGUAUGGCAAACGUCCCCAGUUUGACAUUUACCAAUGUAGAAAAAUAAUGAGCUAAUUCAUAGUUAAAAUAGAUUAUGAAUACCAAUUCAUCUGCGACCAUUUGUGCUGAAAUUGGUUUUUAAGACUUGCUUGAAAUGAGGCCAUUUACAUACAUGUAUGCAUGCCUGGUGUGCAACCUCAGCGCUCACUCUCCUUCGCUCAGAGACGGGCCGCCUCCUCUCUUUCUCCCCUAGCAACGAACAUUCAAAAGAGAACAUUUUCCUAUCAAAUCUGGGCGUCAUGCUAUUUCAGGUCUGGGUCAUGAAUAAGUUAGUCCAAACUCUGCAUGUGAGUGAGCUAAUGCAAAAAAGAGGACAGACUGGUGGUGGGGGGGCUGUUGUCAGGGUCUAGGAGGAGAGGAGCAACAUCAGUAGUUGUCCGUGCACAUUGAGAUGAGGUGCUGGAGGAGAGGGGAUUCCUUUAAGCAGAGGGAUGUGAGCACGCUGCCCGAGGCUUUGCUGCAGCCUUGUGUUGCCUCUGCAUAGUUAAACUGGUGGAAGAGAUGACCAGCAGCCAAGCCAGAGAAGUCUUCUGUACAGCACUCAGACACUCUGUAAACCCCACACGUACCUUCCGCCUGCUAAUGGAAGGGAAGAAAAGUGGAGAAAUGUUGCUAACAGUCAGGGAAAGCUUUCUGAUGUAAUACUUGGAAUGGAAAUGGAAAUACGUCUACAGAAAUCAAGCCAGCAGCUAAAGCAAAAAGACAAAGAUGAAGAAAAUGAGAAAGGAAGGAACUGACCAGUCUGGUGACGAGGGGAAACCCGAUGUGCCAGAAGUGCUCGUUGAGCAGCCCGUUGGACACCACGUUACCAAACAGAGCGAUGGUUCCUGGCUUGCACAGACCACUUCCUGGCUUGGUUUCUGCAAGAUAACACAAGUCCUUUUUCACCACUGUAUACAGUCAAUGAAAAUGAUAAAACGUUAUACAUAUAGUAUUUACAUUUCAAACAGUGAGAGUCUGUUAAUAAAACACGUGUCUACAACAGUGUGCAAACACAA